GUAAAGUAAUAUAAAAGCUGCUAACUUAUUAUAAUAAUGGUUAAAUUCCAUUAACAUUACU
RNAcentral lists this transfer RNA (61 nucleotides) under Paropaon sp. OR337. RNAcentral describes it as "tRNA-Ser". Lineage: Eukaryota; Metazoa; Arthropoda; Insecta; Orthoptera; Acrididae. The record is from RNAcentral.